Molecule: ribosomal RNA, 371 nt
Filed under: uncultured organism
Description: partial 16S ribosomal RNA
Rfam family: Bacterial small subunit ribosomal RNA
Source: RNAcentral
GUAGGUGGCAAGCGUUGUCCGGAAUUAUUGGGCGUAAAGCGCGCGCAGGCGGUCCUUUAAGUCUGAUGUGAAAGCCCACGGCUCAACCGUGGAGGGUCAUUGGAAACUGGGGGACUUGAGUACAGAAGAGGAAAGCGGAAUUCCAAGUGUAGCGGUGAAAUGCGUAGAGAUUUGGAGGAACACCAGUGGCGAAGGCGGCUUUCUGGUCUGUAACUGACGCUGAGGCGCGAAAGCGUGGGGAGCAAACAUGAUUAGAUACCCUGGUAGUCCACGCCGUAAACGAUGAGUGCUAAGUGUUAGGGGGUUUCCCGCCCCUUAGUGCUGCAGCUAACGCAUUAAGCACUCCGCCUGGGGAUACGGCCGCAAGGCUG